AGUCAUAUGCUUGUCUCAAAGAUUAAGCCAUGCAUGUGUCAGUACACGCCUCCCUAAGGCUAAACCGCGAAUGGCUCAUUAAAUCAGUUAUAAUUCAUUUGAUCACAAACCCCUUCAUACUUGGAUAACCCUGGUAAUUCUAGAGCUAAUACGUGACCUUAUACUCUGACUGCAAGGGAAGAGUGCUUUUAUUAGUUUAAAACCAGUCGGGCCUCGGUCCGUCAAACACAAAGUGUGGUGACUCUGAAUAACUUUGGGUGGAGAGCACGGUCUCCGCACCGGCUCCAUAUCUUUCGAGUUUCUGCCUUAUCAUGCUGUGGACUGUAGGCCAUGCGCCUACAGUGGCUGUAACGGGUAACGGAGAAUCAGGGUUCGAUUCCGGAGAGGGAGCCUGAGAAACGGCUACCACAUCCAAGGAAGGCAGCAGGCACGCAAAUUACCCAAUCCCAGCUCGGGGAGGUAGUGACGAAAAAUAACGAUGCGGGACUCUUCUGAGUCUGCGUAAUCGGAAUGAGCACAAUUUAAAUCCUUUAGCAACAAUCAAUUGGAGGGCAAGUCUGGUGCCAGCAGCCGCGGUAAUUCCAGCUCCAAUAGCGUAUAUUAAAGUUGUUGCRGUAAAAAGCUCGUAGUCUGAGGUCUGUUCCGGACUGGCUGGGGAGGUCACCGCCCGGUGCUUCCCCGUCAGGUUCCGAACAGCUUCUGCCGCGAGCGGAAGCCAUGCCGGUUCUCUCGGGGUGCUCUUGACCGAGUGUCCCGUGUGGCCGGCAGGUUCACCUUGAACAAAUGAGAGUGCUCAAAGCAGGCUACUCUUAAAACUAAAGCCCGAAUGUUAACUGCAUGGAAUGAUGAAAGAUGAUCUCGGUUGUAUUUUACUGGCUUGUGAUAAAUCCGAGUUAAUGAUAAACAGGGACUGUCGGGGGCAUCCGUACUACGACGCGAGAGGUGAAAUUCAGUGACCGUCGUAGGACGAACAACAGCGAAAGCAUUUGCCAAGAAUGUCUUCGUUGAUCAAGAACGAAAGUUAGAGGAUCGAAGGCGAUCAGAUACCGCCCUAGUUCUAACCCUAAACGAUGCUAACUAGCUAUUCGCCGUCGUUAUUCCCAUGACGUGGCGAGACGCCCCCGGGAAACCUCAAGUCUUUGAGUUCCGGGGGUAGUAUGGUUGCAAAACUGAAACUUAAAGGAAUUGACGGAAGGGCACCACCAGGAGUGGAGCCUGCGGCUUAAUUUGACUCAACACGGGAAACCUCACCAGGCCCGGACACCAGAAGGAUUGACAGAUUAAGAGCUCUUUCUCGAUUUGGUGGGUGGUGGUGCAUGGCCGUUCUUAGUUGGUGGAGUGAUUUGUCUGGUUAAUUCCGGUAACGAACGAGACUCUGGCCUACUAACUAGUGGAUGGGUGUUCUGACAGUGGGGCCCCAUCCGAUAAUGUCUUCUUAGAGGGAUGAGCAGCGAGUAUAGCUGCAGGAGAUUGAGCAAUAACAGGUCUGUGAUGCCCUUAGAUGUCCUGGGCCGCACGCGCGCUACACUGAAUGGGUUAGCGGGUUUUCCUUCUCCGAGAGGAGCGGGAAAUCGCGUUAAAACCAUUCGUGAUAGGGAUUGGGGCUUGCAAUUGUUUCCCAUGAACGAGGAAUUCCCAGUAAGCGCAAGUCAUCAGCUUGCGUUGAUUAAGUCCCUGCCCUUUGUACACACCGCCCGUCGCUACUACCGAUUGAAUGAUUUAGUGAGGACUUCGGACUGGCGGUCUUGGACUGGGCUCCUCUCGUUGUCCCCUGCAAAGGGGGCCGGGGGACCUGCCUUGACCAGCCGGAAAGAUGUCCAAACUUGAUCAUUUAGAGGAAGUAAAAGUCGUAACAAGGUUUCCGU
Molecule: ribosomal RNA, 1865 nt
Filed under: Synalpheus bousfieldi
Lineage: Eukaryota; Metazoa; Arthropoda; Malacostraca; Decapoda; Alpheidae
Description: SSU rRNA
Rfam family: Eukaryotic small subunit ribosomal RNA
Source: RNAcentral